Molecule: non-coding RNA, 46 nt
Organism: Trichobilharzia regenti
Lineage: Eukaryota; Metazoa; Platyhelminthes; Trematoda; Strigeidida; Schistosomatidae
Source: Rfam
GUACUGCUGAAGAGUCCAAAACUAGGACGAAACAGCUGUCCAGUAC